GUUGCAGUGUCGACAAAGGCUUCAACGAGGACGUCGAAGGAAUAAGUGGGGGAGAAUGUCACGGACAAACUUCUAAACAGGAUGUUUGAUGUGAUGCUUAUGUAUGUCCGUGUCUUUUGGCAUGUUCAUGCCUUGUACAGCAUGUAGAGGGGCGGCCGAAGGCUUAAUAGUCCCACUUUAGUUGGGUUGGUGGCCUCUUUAGGCUUGUAAAUAAAGGUUGUGUCAUGUGGACACGUGCGAGAGAUUUUCGGUCUGUAAUGGACCAUUUUACCCUUUGUUGUGCAACUGUUC
Molecule: long non-coding RNA, 291 nt
Filed under: Musa acuminata (dwarf banana)
Lineage: Eukaryota; Viridiplantae; Streptophyta; Magnoliopsida; Zingiberales; Musaceae
Description: long non-coding RNA (MACU_LNC009154)
Source: RNAcentral